This is a non-coding RNA of Lutra lutra (Eurasian river otter), 1880 nucleotides long. The record is from the annotation of a RefSeq genome assembly. Lineage: Eukaryota; Metazoa; Chordata; Mammalia; Carnivora; Mustelidae.
GCUUGUGUACAUAUUCAGUAAUGUCAAUGAGAUAUUUCAGUGUCCGGUUGUUGUUUUGUUGUGCUGUGUUAUAAAGAGUAAAGGUCAGAUAUCCUACUUGAGUCUUGAAUCAACUACAAAUCAGACAGACAGACAGACAUAGGGGAUGAACCCAGCAGGCAUGUCCUUACUUUUCUACGGUACAGGAUUCCAGGGGAGAUGGCUAAGUGGGUGUGAGAAUUAUCCUAUCCUGGGCUAGAUGGACGCAUUCACACCAGGAAUUUCUUUCCAGAUUGAGAGGCUUCUUACCCCAUCUGCCUAGCACUCACAGGGCACAGGAAGCCCCAGACCUGCUCAGAUCUGCGGCUGAUCAUGCACAACCCCAGGGAACUAUCUAGGUCACCACUUCUGAGAAACCUGAACCAGCUCCACCCUCCAGCCACUGACCUGACAAGUCCUGCUAAAAGGGACCUCACUUCUUACCUUGUCACUGGGGAGCCAGCCAGGCCAACAAGAUGCCACUGCUAGAAGCUCUCAUCUUCUCAUCCCUCUCGGCCUUUGGCCUUGGGCAGGCGACAUUGGAGCAACAUGAAAUAUCAGUUUCCAGAGCAAGAGAUAAGAGUGCCCACAUAUCAUGCAACGUGUCUGCUAAGAACUUCAACAGUGAAACCAUAUACUGGUACUGGCAGAAACCAGAUCAGGAGAUAGAAUAUCUAACAGCUGUCAUAACAAACCGUGUUCAAGUUCCCUUAGACGGGAAGAACAACAAAUUUGAGGCAAGUAAAAACACUCAUACUUCCACUUCAACAUUGAAAAUAAAUUUCCUAGAGAAAGAAGAUGAGGCCGUGUACUACUGUGGCAGCUGGCUUCUGGGAUCUGGUAGCUGGAUCAAGAUGUUUGCACAGGGAACUAAGCUCAUAGUAAUUCCCCCAGAUAGAAGCCUUAAUGUAGACAUUUUCCCCAAGCCCACAAUUUUUCUACCUUCAGUUACGGAGAGAGAACUCCAUAAGGCUGGAACAUAUCUUUGUCUUCUUGAGGAUUUUUUCCCGGAUGUUAUCAAGAUAGAUUGGAGAGAAAAGGAUGAUGAAACAAUUCUGAAAUCGCAGCAGGGAGACACGGUGAAGACUAACGACACAUACAUGAAAUUCAGCUGGCUGACCGUGACUGGAGCGUCAAUGGAUAAAGAACACAAAUGUAUCGUCAAACACGAGUGGAAUAAAGGAGGAGUUGAUCAAGAGAUUCUAUUUCCUCCACAGAAAAAAGAGCUCACUGCUAUUAAUUCUACAAAAGCUUCUCUAAGAUAUAAAGAUGAUACUUUGCAGCUGCAGCUCAAGACCACCUCUGCCUACUACACUUACCUUCUACUGCUCUUCAAGAGCCUGAUCUACUCUGUCAUCGUGGCCAUCUGUCUGCUUGGGAGACCAGCAUUCUGUGGCAAUGGGAAGAGUUCCUAACACAUGGUGGCACAAGAGUCCACUUUUCUCCAAUGGCAAUUGUCGCCAAAAAUAUCUGUUGUGGAUCUAAUGGGGCUUUCUCUCUGAGACUGUUAUAUUUCAGUUCAAAUGUGUCUUUUUCUAUUGUGUCAUUACUCCAGAACAGGUCUACACACCACUGGGCAAACAGAAACUUUCACUUUGCAGCUAGAACAAAUUCUGCCAUGACUCUGGGGCGGGGCCAGGGGGCAUCCACAGGGGUGUCAGCACUGCUCUCUCCUUAAUGUCCACCAGCUCCUCAGCCACCCAGUCCCAGAGCCUCUGAGCACAGCCAACACAGCUUCAGCUGCAUCUCCUGGGGCUCUUUAACCAGAUAACUUCUUCAAAGCCAUUUAUUCUACACAUCUGGACUGCCAUCACUGCUGCCCGAGUUUUGUACUGCUUUACAUAAUAGGCCAAUAAAAACAA